Molecule: long non-coding RNA, 474 nt
Organism: Suricata suricatta (meerkat)
Lineage: Eukaryota; Metazoa; Chordata; Mammalia; Carnivora; Herpestidae
Exons: 2
Source: RefSeq, a predicted model, not a curated record
UGAACUCAUCUCAUCGUGGGGCCUGUGCCUUUGCUACCGGGGUCAGGGAAUGAAACCUAGGGCCCUGACCUCAGUGAUGGAGCCUUCACCCUGUGUUAUUUGAGAGGGUGGAGGGUCAACUGGGGCCUCUACCAGGACCUCCCCAAAGUCUACCAGCCUCAUAUGCAGGAGAAAAUAACAGGCCCCAAAUGGUAGAGGAAUCAGCUCACAGUCACCUGGGAGUAGAGGCUUUCCUGGCUCUCUCUGCCUUGGACCUCUGCCACCGUGCUGCGUGUCCCGUCUCUAGAGGAAUUCAGAACAAAGGCCGCAGCCCUGAAGACAGCAAGGACCCUGCCGAAUAACACUGUCCCACUCUAAACUCAAGGAGGCUGUCCCAAGUCUUGUUCCCUGAGGCUCGUAGCUGAAAAGAAAUGGAUGUACAGUCACUCCCCAGGAACCCCUAGUUUGGCUGUGACUAAACUAUAUUCAUCUGGA